AGCGAACGCUGGCGGCAUGCCUAACACAUGCAAGUCGCACGGGGGGGCUUCGGCCUCCCAGUGGCGGACGGGUGAGGAACGCGUAGGGACCUGUCGAGGGGUGGGGGAUAACCUCGGGAAACUGCGGCUAAUACCGCAUGACGCCGCGGCGUGACAGCCGGGGCCAAAGGCGAAAGCCGCCCGCCGAGGGGCCUGCGUCCGAUUAGCUGGUUGGCGGGGUAGCUGCCCACCAAGGCGUCGAUCGGUAGCUGGUCUGAGAGGGUGAUCAGCCACACCGGGACUGAGACACGGCCCGGACUCCUACGGGAGGCAGCAGUGGGGAAUAUUGGACAGUGGGCGCAAGCCUGAUCCAGCAAUGCCGCGUGGGUGAAGAAGGUCUUCGGAUUGUAAAGCCCUUUCGGCGGGGACGAUGGUGACGGUACCCGCAGAAGAAGCCCCGGCUAACUUCGU
This 450-nucleotide ribosomal RNA is filed under the name uncultured bacterium. Its description in RNAcentral is "partial 16S ribosomal RNA". It matches the Rfam family "Bacterial small subunit ribosomal RNA", at positions 28 to 506 of the family's 1533-position model. The record is from RNAcentral.